Molecule: ribosomal RNA, 209 nt
Filed under: uncultured bacterium
Lineage: Bacteria
Description: partial 16S ribosomal RNA
Rfam family: Bacterial small subunit ribosomal RNA
Source: RNAcentral
CGCCUUUCAGAGGGGGAUAACACUUAGAAAUAGGUGCUAAUACCGCAUGACACAGCGUUUUCGCAUGGAGAUGCUGUCAAAGGAGCAAUCCGCUGAAAGAUGGCCUCGCGUCUGAUUAGCUGGUUGGUGAGAUAACAGCCCACCAAGGCGACGAUCAGUAGCCGGACUGAGAGGUUGAACGGCCACAUUGGGACUGAGACACGGCCCAG